UCGUUCCACUAGGGGUGCCGAGAGGCUGAGAGGGGAGCGAUCCCCAACCCUUAGGACCUGAUCCGGGUCAUACCGGCGGAGAGCAACGUGGAACAGGAACCUG
Molecule: non-coding RNA, 103 nt
Filed under: Limnochorda pilosa
Lineage: Bacteria; Bacillati; Bacillota; Limnochordia; Limnochordales; Limnochordaceae
Description: TPP sequence
Rfam family: TPP riboswitch aptamer (THI element)
About the family: Vitamin B(1) in its active form thiamin pyrophosphate (TPP) is an essential coenzyme that is synthesised by coupling of pyrimidine and thiazole moieties in bacteria. The previously detected thiamin-regulatory element, thi box was extended, resulting in a new, highly conserved RNA secondary structure, the THI element, which is widely distributed in eubacteria and also occurs in some archaea. Analysis of operon structures identified a large number of new candidate thiamin-regulated genes, mostly transporters, in various prokaryotic organisms.
Source: Rfam by way of RNAcentral